RNAcentral lists this small nucleolar RNA (102 nucleotides) under Gossypium barbadense (sea-island cotton). RNAcentral's name for it is "Plant small nucleolar RNA R71". It matches the Rfam family "Plant small nucleolar RNA R71". Rfam says of the family: R71 is a member of the C/D box family of snoRNAs containing the C (UGAUGA) and D (CUGA) box motifs. Multiple nearly identical copies of this snoRNA have been identified in Arabidopsis, and it is thought to function as a 2'-O-ribose methylation guide for 18S ribosomal RNA. RNAcentral also lists the same sequence under 1 other name. Lineage: Eukaryota; Viridiplantae; Streptophyta; Magnoliopsida; Malvales; Malvaceae. The record is from Rfam by way of RNAcentral.
AGGUCAUAGUGAGAACACCUUCUCAAAAAAUCCUUAAAUCUCUCCCGUGUAUCAUAAAGAAUAUUAAACUAAACAAAAAGAAGAUAUGUCAUUCCUCAACUU